AGUGGCAGACGGGUGAGUAACAUGUAGGUAUCUACCCUUUGGCCUGGAAUAACACGAGGAAACUUGUGCUAAUACCGGAUAAGUCUUUACGGAGAAAGCUUUAUGCACCAUUGGAUGAGCCUGCACUUGAUUAGUUUGUUGGUAGGGUAAUGGCCUACCAAGACUGUGAUCAAUAGCUGAUUUGAGAGGAUGAUCAGCCACAUUGGGACUGAGACACGGCCCAAACUCCUACGGGAGGCAGCAGUGGGGAAUCUUGCACAAUGGAGGAAACUCUGAUGCAGCGAUGCCGCGUGAGUGAAGAAGGCCUUUGGGUUGUAAAGCUCUUUCGUCGGGGAAGAAAAUGACUGUACCCGAAUAAGAAGGUCCGGCUAACUUCGUGCCAGCAGCCGCGGUAAUACGAAGGGACCUAGCGUAGUUCGGAAUUACUGGGCUUAAAGAGUUCGUAGGUGGUUGAAAAAGUUGGUGGUGAAAUCCCAGAGCUUAACUCUGGAACUGCCAUCAAAACUUUUCAGCUAGAGUUUGAUAGAGGAAAGCAGAAUUUCUAGUGUAGAGGUGAAAUUCGUAGAUAUUAGAAAGAAUACCAAUUGCGAAGGCAGCUUUCUGGAUCAUUACUGACACUGAGGAACGAAAGCAUGGGUAGCGAAGAGGAUUAGAUACCCUCGUAGUCCAUGCCGUAAACGAUGUGUGUUAGACGCUGGAAAUUUAUUUUCAGUGUCGCAGCGAAAGCAAUAA
This 732-nucleotide ribosomal RNA is filed under the name uncultured Alphaproteobacteria bacterium. Its description in RNAcentral is "bacterial SSU rRNA". It matches the Rfam family "Bacterial small subunit ribosomal RNA", at positions 94 to 863 of the family's 1533-position model. The record is from RNAcentral. Lineage: Bacteria; Pseudomonadati; Pseudomonadota; Alphaproteobacteria.